GUGUCAGCAGCCGCGGUAAUACGUAUGGGGCAAGCGUUAUCCGGAUUCAUUGGGCGUAAAGAGCGCGUAGGCGGAUUGUUAAGUCAGAUGUGAAAACCGGGGGCUCAACCCGCGGCCUGCAUCUGAAACUGGCAGUCUUGAGUCUGGUAGAGGAAAGUGGAAUUCCUGGUGUAGCGGUGAAAUGCGCAGAUAUCAGGAGGAACACCAGUGGCGAAGGCGGCUUUCUGGGCCACGACUGACGCUGAGGCGCGAAAGCUAGGGGAGCGAACAGGAUUAGAAACCCCGGUAGUCC
Molecule: ribosomal RNA, 292 nt
Filed under: uncultured bacterium
Lineage: Bacteria
Description: partial 16S ribosomal RNA
Rfam family: Bacterial small subunit ribosomal RNA
Source: RNAcentral